GCCGAUGUAGCUCAGCUGGUAGAGCAACUCAUUCGUAAUGAGUAGGUCGCGGGUUCGAAUCCCUUCAUCGGCU
RNAcentral lists this transfer RNA (73 nucleotides) under Candidatus Spyradomonas excrementavium. RNAcentral describes it as "tRNA-Thr". It matches the Rfam family "tRNA". From Rfam's summary of the family: Transfer RNA (tRNA) molecules are approximately 80 nucleotides in length. Their secondary structure includes four short double-helical elements and three loops (D, anti-codon, and T loops). The record is from RNAcentral. Lineage: Bacteria; Bacillati; Candidatus Melainabacteria; Candidatus Gastranaerophilales; Candidatus Gastranaerophilaceae.